Molecule: ribosomal RNA, 254 nt
Filed under: uncultured bacterium
Lineage: Bacteria
Description: partial 16S ribosomal RNA
Rfam family: Bacterial small subunit ribosomal RNA
Source: RNAcentral
UACGUAGGGUGCGAGCGUUGUCCGGAAUUAUUGGGCGUAAAGAGCUCGUAGGCGGUGUGUUACGUCGGCCGUGAAAACCUGCAGCUUAACUGUGGGCGUGCGGUCGAUACGGGCAUCACUGGAGUUCGGCAGGGGAGACUGGAAUUCCUGGUGUAGCGGUGAAAUGCGCAGAUAUCAGGAGGAACACCGGUGGCGAAGGCGGGUCCCUGGGCCGAUACUGACGCUGAGGAGCGAAAGCGUGGGGAGCAAACAGG